UCAUCAUGACUGUUACGUCUGGACUACACACGUGCUACAAUGGUCGGACAGAGGGUUGCCAAGCCGCGAGUGGCGCUAAUCUCACAAAACCGAUCGUAGUCCAGGAUCGCAGUCUGCAACUCGACUGCGUGAAGUCGGAAUCGCUAGUAAUCGCGAAUCAGAAUGUCGCGGUGAAUACGUUCCCGGGCCUUGUACACACCGCCCGUCACACCAUGGGAGUGGGUUGCACCAAGAAGUAGCUAGUCUAACCUUCGGGGGGACGGUUACCACGGUGUAGAUUCAUGACUGGGGCGAAGUCGUAACAAGGUAGCCGUAGGGAA
RNAcentral lists this ribosomal RNA (320 nucleotides) under uncultured bacterium. Its description in RNAcentral is "bacterial SSU rRNA". It matches the Rfam family "Bacterial small subunit ribosomal RNA", at positions 1190 to 1509 of the family's 1533-position model. The record is from RNAcentral.